Molecule: ribosomal RNA, 455 nt
Filed under: uncultured bacterium
Lineage: Bacteria
Description: bacterial SSU rRNA
Rfam family: Bacterial small subunit ribosomal RNA
Source: RNAcentral
UACGGAAGGCAGCAGUGGGGAAUAUUGCACAAUGGGCGAAAGCCUGAUGCAGCUAUGCCGCGUGUAUGAAGAAGGCCUUAGGGUUGUAAAGUACUUUCAUCGGGGAGGAAAAACAAAACUAAUAAUUUUAUUUCUUGACGUUACCCGAAAAAGAAGCACCGGCUAACUCCGUGCCAGCAGCCGCGGUAAUACGGAGGGUGCUAGCGUUAAUCAGAAUUACUGGGCGUAAAGAGCACGUAGGUGGUUUUUUUAAGUCAGAUGUGAAAUCCUUGGGCUUAACCUAGGAACUGCAUUUUGAAACUGAAAUACUAGAGUAUCGUAGAGGGAGGUAGAAUUCUAGGUGUAGCGGUGAAAUGCGUAGAUAUCUGGAGGAAUACCUGUGGCGAAAGCGGCCUCCUAAACGAAUACUGACACUGAGGUGCGAAAGCGUGGGGAGCAAACAGGGAUUAGAUACC